This 498-nucleotide ribosomal RNA is filed under the name uncultured bacterium. Its description in RNAcentral is "partial 16S ribosomal RNA". It matches the Rfam family "Bacterial small subunit ribosomal RNA", at positions 28 to 507 of the family's 1533-position model. The record is from RNAcentral.
GACGAACGCUGGCGGCGUGCCUAAUACAUGCAAGUCGAGCGGACGAAUCGAAAGCUUGCUUUUGAUUCGUUAGCGGCGGACGGGUGAGUAACACGUGGGCAACCUGCCCUGUAGACGGGGAUAACACCGAGAAAUCGGUGCUAAUACCGGAUAACACGAAAUGUCGCAUGACGUUUCGUUGAAAGACGGCGCAAGCUGCCGCUACAGGAUGGGCCCGCGGCGCAUUAGCUAGUUGGUGAGGUAACGGCUCACCAAGGCGACGAUACGUAGCCGACCUGAGAGGGUGAUCAGCCACACUGGGACUGAGACACGGCCCAGACUCCUACGGGAGGCAGCAGUAGGGAAUCUUCCGCAAUGGACGAAAGUCUGACGGAGCAACGCCGCGUGAGCGAAGAAGGCCUUCGGGUCGUAAAGCUCUGUUGUUAGGGAAGAACAAGUAACGCAGUAACUGGCGUUACCGUGACGGUACCUAACGAGAAAGCCACGGCUAACUACGUG